CCCAGACUCCUACGGGAGGCAGCAGUAGGGAAUCUUCCACAAUGGGCGAAAGCCUGAUGCAGCGACGCCGCGUGAGUGAAGAAGUAAUUCGUUAUGUAAAGCUCUAUCAGCAGGGAAGAAAAUGACGGUACCUGAGUAAGAAGCCCCGGCUAACUACGUGCCAGCAGCCGCGGUAAUACGUAGGGGGCAAGCGUUAUCCGGAUUUACUGGGUGUAAAGGGAGCGUAGACGGCAGUGCAAGUCUGGAGUGAAAGCCCGGGGCUCAACCCUGGGACUGCUCUGGAAACUGUAAAGCUGGAGUGCGGGAGGGGCAGGCGGAAUUCCUGGUGUAGCGGUGAAAUGCGUAGAUAUCAGGAGGAACACCGGCGGCGAAGGCGGCCUGCUGGACCGUAACUGACGUUGAGGCUCGAAAGCGUGGGGAGCAAACAGGAUUAGAUACCCGAGUA
RNAcentral lists this ribosomal RNA (445 nucleotides) under uncultured bacterium. RNAcentral describes it as "bacterial SSU rRNA". It matches the Rfam family "Bacterial small subunit ribosomal RNA", at positions 330 to 792 of the family's 1533-position model. The record is from RNAcentral.